UUCGGGCAUGCAUGACAGUGGCAGACGGGUGAGUAACACGUAGGAAUCUACCGAAAAGUGGGGAAUAGCCAUUCGAAAGGAUGGGUAAUACCGCAUAAUCCCUCCGGGGCAAAGCAUUUAUGCGCUUUUCGAGGAGCCUGCGGACUAUCAGUUAGUUGGUGGGGUAAAGGCCUACCAAGACUACGACGGUUAGCCGAUGUGAGAGCAUGAUCGGCCACAAGGUUACUGAGACACGGAACCUACACCUACGGGUGGCAGCAACUGGGAAUAUUGCGCAAUGGACGAAAGUCUGACGCAGCGACACCGCGUGCAGGAAGACGCUUUUCGGAGUGUAAACUGCUGUGGCGAGGGAGAAAAUUUUGAUAGUACCUCGCUAGAAAGCACCAGCUAACCACGUGCCAGAAGCUUCGGUAAUACGUGGGGUGCAAGCGUUAUCCGGAUUUAUUGGGCGUAAAGGGUUCGUCGGCGAUCUUAUAAGUUACUUGUUUAAGCCUGGGGCUCAACUCCAGAAAGGCAAGUAAAACUGUAAGGAUAGAGUUAGUUCGAGGAAACUAGAAUUCUUGGUGGAGGGGUGAAAUCCGUAGAUAUCAAGAGGAAUACCAUGCGCGAAGGCAGGUUUCUAGGACAUAACUGACGCUCAGGAACGAAAGCUAGGGUAGCAAAAGGGAUUAGAGACCCCUGUAG
RNAcentral lists this ribosomal RNA (684 nucleotides) under uncultured bacterium. Its description in RNAcentral is "bacterial SSU rRNA". It matches the Rfam family "Bacterial small subunit ribosomal RNA", at positions 78 to 793 of the family's 1533-position model. The record is from RNAcentral.